Molecule: ribosomal RNA, 307 nt
Filed under: Clostridioides difficile
Lineage: Bacteria; Bacillati; Bacillota; Clostridia; Peptostreptococcales; Peptostreptococcaceae
Description: bacterial LSU rRNA
Rfam family: Bacterial large subunit ribosomal RNA
Source: RNAcentral
UUGACUGGGGCGGUCGCCUCCCAAAAGGUAACGGAGGCGCCCAAAGGUUCUCUCAGUACGGUCGGAAAUCGUACGUAGAGUGUAAAGGCAAAAGAGAGCUUGAUUGCAAGACAUACAGGUCGAGCAAGGAUGAAAAUCGGACUUAGUGAUCCGGUGGUUCUGCGUGGAAGGGCCAUCGCUCAACGGAUAAAAGCUACCCUGGGGAUAACAGGCUUAUCUCCCCCAAGAGUCCACAUCGACGGGGAGGUUUGGCACCUCGAUGUCGGCUCAUCACAUCCUGGGGCUGUAGUAGGUCCCAAGGGUUGGG